CAGUAGCCGCGGUAAUACGAAGGGGGCUAGCGUUGUUCGGAAUUACUGGGCGUAAAGCGCACGUAGGCGGAUAUUUAAGUCAGGGGUGAAAUCCCAGAGCUCAACUCUGGAACUGCCUUUGAUACUGGGUAUCUUGAGUAUGGAAGAGGUGAGUGGAAUUCCGAGUGUAGAGGUGAAAUUCGUAGAUAUUCGGAGGAACACCAGUGGCGAAGGCGGCUCACUGGUCCAUUACUGACGCUGAGGUGCGAAAGCGUGGGGAGCAAACAGGAUUAGAUACCCGCGUAGUCCCUGUCUCUUAUAC
Molecule: ribosomal RNA, 301 nt
Filed under: uncultured bacterium
Lineage: Bacteria
Description: partial 16S ribosomal RNA
Rfam family: Bacterial small subunit ribosomal RNA
Source: RNAcentral